AAUAAUAAUACCUAGCAUUGAUUGAACACUUCCUGGGUACCAGACACUGUAUGAAGCAACUUAUAUGUACCAUGCCAUUUAAUCCUCACAAUCAUAACCUUGAGAAGUAUGGGAUUAAAAACCCUUUUAUCUUUAUUUAACAGAUGAGGAAAAUAAAGCACAAAAAAUUAAGUAACUUACCCAAAGUUAUGUAAACACAAGUAGCCUGAGUCCAGAACCCAUUCUCCUUAACCAUCAGUCAACCUAUAAAGUAGUAAGAGAUAAUGAAAUUUUUUUUAUGUUUAUUUAUUUUUGAGAGAGAGAGAGAGAGAGUAGGGGAGGGGCAGAAAGAGAGGGAGGCACAGAAUCUGAAGCAGGCUCCAGGCUCUGAGCUGUCAGAGCCUGACACGAGGCUUGAACUCAUGAACUGUGAGAUCAUGAUCUGAACUGAAGUCAGAGGUUUAACCAACUGAGCCACUGAAUCAAGCAGGUGCCCCUGAAAUGGUUGUUUUUAAGCCACUAACUUUUGUGCUGUUGUUUUUACACAGCAAAUAGAUAAGAGAAAUUCUGAUUCAUAGCAAGUGCUAUGUAACUAUUAGCUAAUAUCAAUGUUAUUAUUUUUUUUAAGUUUAUUUAUUUAGGGAGAGAGAGCAUGCAUGAGCCAGGAAGGGUCAGAGAGGGAAAGAGAAUCUCAAGCAGGCUCUGCACUGUCAGUGCACAAGACUUGAUCUCACCAACCAUGAGAUCAUGACCUGAGCCAAAACCCAAGAGUCAAACAUUUAACCAACUUGAGCCACAGAGGUACCCCCUUGAUGUUAUUAUUAUGUAGAUCUUUGAUGCCAAGUUUUGACAUCCAGAUAUGAUCAGUGAAGGGCUGUUAUACGUGCUUGGGUGAGGGGAACAACAUUAAUUAAACAAUACUUAUUAACUUUGCAGUAGAAUAUGGCUUAAAAGAAAUAUUGAUUAGUGCAAGAGAAGUUUUUUUUAAUAUUAAUUUAUUAUCAAAUUGGCUAACACACGUUGUAUAAAGUGUGCUCUUGGUUUGGGGGGUAGAUUCCUGUGGUUCAUCGCUUAUAUACAACACUCAGUGCUCAUCCCAGCUAGUGCCCUCCUCAAUGCCAAUCACCCAUUGUCCCCUCUCUCUCAUCCCCUCAUCAACCUUCAGUUUGUUCUCUGUAUUUAAGAGUCUCUUAUGGCUUGCCUCCCUCUCUCUCUGUAACUAUAUUUUUACCCUUCCCUUCCCUCAUGGUCUUCUGUUAAGAGAAGGUAUUUUUAAGAACUGUUUUGGAAGUUUCACAAAAAUAAAACACAAUACAUUGACAUGCCAAUCAGUGGUCUCAUCAUGCUAAAUUACUUUAUACUGCAAAUACCUGCUGAAGUAUGCAAUUGUAUACUUUCUGUGAUUCAGGAUAUUAGGUCGCCAUUAAUAACUCUUGGUCUUCCAUGUGGUUAAGUCAAAAUUUUACUGGCUUCAUCCCAAUACCUGUGAAAUUUGAUAGCAGAUUUUCUCUGGAAUAACAAUGAAAGCACUAAUUCAUAAUUCUCAAAGUUUAACAAAGAACGAAGAGGUUUGUUUUUGCUCAGACAAGCCCUAGAAUGCUGUUUCCGUAGGCUCUCUGUCUGCUGUUUUCAUUUUUGCUAUCUCUCUCAAGUUAAGAAGGCAUUUGUAUUAGACCAGAAUUUUUAUCUAUUUACUAAAUAAUUGAUUUCACAAUUGCAUGUUUGAUGGCUUGACUCAUUGUGUUAUAAAGAUCUGUGGUUUUAUAAGGAAAUCAGUAGAAAAACAACACAUUUUGCUUUACUGUCUUUCUUACAAAAUAAAUUCAUUUAUUUAAUUGGGGUUGGGGGGGAUUGCAGGGACUAUACUUGGCCAACACUAAAAUCUGUUAUCAUCUCCAUCCAAGAAAGUUAACUGAAGCUGACUUGACUUCUGGGAAGUGCGUUGUAGCUGACAUCUGGGUGUGCCCCAUACCAAAGUGUUAUCAUGAGAGAUUGAUUGGUCCAUCAGGAAUGGAAUUUGAAUCCCCUCAAAGGACUAAAUAAAACAAAAUUAUCUGGACUAUAUUACCUUUUUUGGAGUUAAUAAACUUUACUUUUUUACAGCAUAACUCUCUCUGUUAGUGGGAUGUUAUGUCACAAUUGUCAGUUACUUAUUCUUCCUACCGUAACGAUAUACUAUUCCAGUAACUUCAUCCCAAUGUUUUAAACCUUGUACAUGACAGUACAUUUUAGAAUUACCAUCAUAGCCCCCCCCCCCCAGCAGCGUGCUAAACACAUCUUUGAUGCUCUGAAAAAUGUUCAUAGUUAUAGCAUAAUAUAUCCUUAGGUACCUAUGCUGUGCAAAGCCUUCUAUCCAAAUGCAAAUCUAAUUUUUUUUAAUCAUUGCUUACUUCUUUUAUCUGUCACCCUGCUUUUCUUUUGGGUCUUGAGAAAAAUGAGAUUCUACUCCAAAAAUGCUUUAAGAAUGCUUACUGUGCUAUAAAAGGCAAAGAAGCACUAGUAUCUUUAUAUUUAUGAUUGACAUGUAUAUAAUCUUAAAACACCAUUGACUCCAGAUCUUUUUUAUUUUUCAUGGUGAACACUUGCCAAAGGUAGGAAAAAGAUUAAGGCAUGCAUCUCAUAGAAUGAAUGUAAAUAAUUGCAAAUAUUUCCUAUUCCUUCUCCUACUUAAAUUUGAAAAUCAAAAUUCUUGUAAUCUGGUCAUUGAUAAAAAUGUUGAAAAGGGCAGAACUUCAUAGCAGUCUUGUAAUCUGUGCCUUUUAGGAUAGUGUCACUGUAUUUAGUCAUUAGAUGUGGAAGAUGUAACGGGUAAGAUAAUUUGGAAUCAAAUGCCUAGAAUUGUUGUCUGGGAGCCAAAACAUAACAUGUGCUCUGGAGUCGAAAUAUAACAUGAAGACAGAGUUUAGAGAUAAAGAGGAAUGAUAGUUUUAUUAUUUUGCCAGGCAGAGGAAGUUGCAGCAGGCUAAUGCCUUCAAAACUGUAGACUUGCUCUGGGUAAAAGACUUGAGGGGUUUUGUAGGAAAAUACAGGAUCUGGGAGGUUUGGAUAGGAAUCAGGUUCGUGCUGCCAACCCUGUUCGUUAUGUCUUCAAGGUGGUCCCACGACUAGAGCCAUCUGAAUCUCGUUAUUAAGUAUGCAUUGAAAUCAGUGAGAAGUCAAUAUGGAAAUGGAGUUCAUGGAGCAAAGGAUUCUAGAGAAAAACAAGUGAAAGUGAGGGAGAGGUUUCAAGAAUGAGGAAGAGAAAAUUGUGUUCAGUUUGGUUCAGGCAAGACUUGCUAAAGCAUUAAUGUGUCCAUUUUAAUUUCCAUCCAUCUUUACAUUUCUAUAGCAGUUUCAGAAUGUCAUAUUAAGGAGUUUAGACUAAUAUCAUUUUCUAGUCACAAAGAAGUAUACAAUAGCAUACUCUUGAAUAAGGCAGUGAUGUGAUUGUGUUUCAGAAACUUACAAUGGUGUAGAAGAGGUUCAGGAGGAUUUAGAGGUUGGAGGAACAGAGGCCACCUAGUAGGCUAGUAUGACAGACAAAUGUUGAUUACAGUACUUAGGGAGAGAUCCACAAGGAAAGUUAUCUAUAGCAUGUUUCGCUUAAGCAGGGGUUACAAACUAAUUGCCUACAGAGGCCAACAAAUAAUGCAAAUAGUUAAACAGGUCAAAGGAAGAACAAGUCUAAUGAGGGCAGCCCCCACUCUGCUCCAUCAGUUGUCACCUGGCAGGAAUGCAGGAACAUUGUUACCACAUCUUUCAGUUUUUCAAGAGAAGUUGGAAGUUUAGCCUUUAAAUAGAAUCUCUUCAUUUGUAAAUGUUGGCUUAAUUUAAAAAAAAAAUUCUAGAUGGCUAAAAAAAAAAACAAACAAAAACAUCUACAGCCAGAAGCAGCUAGUAGUAGGAUGCCAGCUUUUACAGCCUGUAGCUUUUAGUUUCUUCUGGCUGUGACUCUUGUUGUGUAGUAUGGUAAGGAAAAGACCUAAGGAUAGGAAUUAGAAAAUUUCUGGUGAAGUACAGUCUGAUAACAUAACUGAGAAAAGAAUGGCAAAUGCAAAACUCAUGACUCUCUUUGUGGGUAGCAAAAGCCAAGAUUUUGUUAACAGCUUGUCCCUAAAGAGCACUUUAUAAAUAGAUUGCUCUGUUUAGGUUAAUUUUGCUUAGGUAGCAUUGUUUCCUUCCUAUUAGUCAGCAUUGUUAGCAUUUUUGAGAAAUCAUGGAUCUGAUGGAGACUUGUGGAGGAGCUGCUGAAUUACAGAAGUUAUUACAGCAAAAUAAAUUAUGUGGUGCUAUAAAUACUUGACUCGGUGACUCAGCAAAUUCCCUUUAUGUCCAAAAGGAAACAUGUUGUACCUAACUCAUGAGGUCUGUUUUUAAUUUCUUCAGCUUCGCAGUUGUUCCUGUUUGUCACUGAUAGAUUUUUACAUGAUGUGAGACACAUAAAGAUAAAGACAUACCACUUUCCGAGGGAGACUUAAGUAUUGGGGAAAUGAAAGCAGUGGUGGGGGGGACCUUUAGUCAUUGGAGUGCUUUUGUAUUGAUGGCAGGGGAUUACCAGGAAGAAGUCAGAGAACCAUCUGGGAUGGCUGUGAGAAACUAGAUAGUUUUAUUAUACUCUUGGUAACAUUUCCAACUAAUAAAAUUAGAAUAAAAAUUUUAAUGUUAGAAGCAAAACCCUAGAAAAUAUGUAAUUAACUUCUUUAGAAUUCAACAAUCAUUCUAUUUAACUCUAACACUCACAUUUAAAAUACUUUAACCAGACAUUUGAGUUGAUGCCAAGAUGUGCCAGAGAUGGUUUCUGCCUUCAAAGACUAUUAGGAGAGAGACUAUAUGUACACAAAAUUUUUAAAUUAUUUAUGUUUAAUUAAAUAAUUGUUCGAUACCUUGUUUAUAAAACCUAGUAAAUUGUUGGUCUUUUAGUAAAUAUUUAUUAUCGUCUGUUAAUGAGCAGGCAAAAAUAGUACUAUGUAGGAACUGAUUUCAUACAUUUUCUUAUAAAACAGUAGAGAAUUGUUUUUAAAACUCUUUGCAUCUUGAUUGUUUUUUGUAAUAAAAAUACUAACACUCCUUACUGCUAUUAAAUAAAGCAUAGUGGCAACUAAAAUCUGUCAAAAACUCUUCCAUCCUGUAUAAUUCUAAAAGGUUCUAACCUUUCAUUUCAGCAUAUUCUUGAACAAAAAUAGCUAAAUGUAAAAAUAGAAUGAAAUAAUUAUUAAAGAAGUAUAAACAAAAUUCCAUAUAAGACAGUAGCUUAGUCUGCUUGGACUGCCAUAACAAAAUACUAUAGACCGUGGUUGAAACACAGACAUUUAUUUUCUAAUGGUUCUGGAGGCUAGAUAUCCAAGAUCAAGGUUCCGGCCAAUUCAGUUUCUAGUUAAGGACUUUCUUUCUGGCUUGCAGCUGCCUUCGUGCUACGUCUUUACAUGAUGUUUCCUCAGUGCAUGGAUACAGUGAAAAAGAGCAGGAGGGAGGGAAAGGGGAAGAGAGAGCACUUUCUGGUAUCUGUUCUUAGAAUGACUCUAAUCCUAUCAUGUCAGGACACCCACCCCCACUUAGGACCCCGUUUAAUUUUAAUUACUUCUUUCAAAUACACUGUAGUGGAAGCUAGGGCUGCAACAUACGAAUUUUAGGGGGACACAAACAGUCCAUUCAUAACAGAUAAGAAAUAGAGAGGAAGCAACCAGAAAGGCAUUUUUGAAAAGGUAGCAUUUGAAUAGGUUCUUGGAGAAUGGGUAGGCUUUUAACCAUUAGCGAUUGGAAGGAGAGAUUCCAAGUGGAAGAAAUAGUUUAACCAGUAUCAUGGCAAUGAGGAAGCAAAGAGUAUAUUCAGCACACAGGAGUCAGCUCUUUCACUUGCAGGAUGACAUCUACACAAGUGAAUAGUACUCAGGAAGUAAAGAGGAUAUGGCCAAAUUAUUUUGUACCUUAUAAAACAUCAUUUUCUGGUUUCAGCACAGCUCUAACUAGUUGUGUGACUUUGGCUAUUCCCCUCUACUUACGUGUGUCUCAGCAUGCCAUUUGUCAAUGGAAAAAUUAUCUCUGGGGUUUCUUUUAAUUUAAUAAAUCUGUACUUCAGAACAAGUGUUUUUUUUUUUUAAGGUAACCAUUGAGACUUUAUUAUAGGCUGUGAGAUCUAACUUCAAAAUGUUAUAGCUGCCUUAUGACAUUAAUAUGCAAACAUGCUAGGAUACACAGAGGUGUGUUAAAUUAUUUCAUCAUUGAGCAAUGGAACACACAGAGUGGAAAUUUCAAAUUUUGCUUAAUACAAAGACAAAUGAAAUUUUGGUGUGAAAUAAAGGAUUAGAUUUUCUCAUUUGAGGGAGGUGUUCUGUGAUCUUAUGAAAUUACUGAGCCUCAGUUGUGUACAAUUAAGAUAAAAUCCUCUGGAUUUUAAGUAAGCGGUUUAAGUUUAACAAGUAUUGUGUGUUUGCGUGUGCCCAUAUGCUUUCAUAUUUGUGCUCUUACACCAGCAGAUGUGCACACUUCUGCAAGUGUUUUGAUGAGAGGCAGAAAAAUCUGCAGCCACUUACCAAUGUUGAAUUGGACUCCUCCCACCUCUGCAUGAAUUGGGAACCUUUUUCUGCAUAUUCCAGGGAGAGAAUAUGGACCUCCCAGGGAGAGUUGACCAGGCAAAUUAAGCAAAUACUUGGUUUCUCCAACCUUGUUCCAUGCCCUUUUUCAAUUUCAUUGGCUCUUUUAUUUUCCCCUGCCUUGGACUUCUGAUUCUUUCAUGACUGCCUUUUCUGCCUUCUUUCAAUUCAUUUGUAGGCACCUGGGUAAGGAAGCCAUAGACUCAUAGGGUUAUUUCCUUUUGAGUAGGAACUAGACCUUAAGCUAUAGGAAUGAAACAUGAACAGUAAAACUCUAUACAAUAAAUGGACAUAGAGCCUGGGGAUAGGGAUAGGGAGAUGAUUUUGUGGUGUUCCUUAAAGCCUUAGAAUGGAAAAUGAUCCCUUGGGGCUUAAAGAACAUUUUCAGUCCUAGAACAGUUUAAUCUAGCUUUACAACUAUUUAUUCUUAACCCUGGACCUGUCUUGGUUAUUUUUAGGCAAAUAAUUACUACUAUUUACUUAUUUUCUAGAAUUCUAGGUUAGUUGUGAGCAAACUUGGAUAACUUUGACCCAAUCUGUAUGAUUCAGUAGAUAAUUCUUCUUUCUGUGAAACGGCUCCUAGGUCAACAGCUUGUUCCUCAUUGCAGAGGCUUAGUUUUAAUGAGUCUUUACAACUUAAAUUAAGAAGCAGGAGAACUAAAGUUGAAGAAGAAUUGUUUUCCUCAACAACAGCAUAUUUCUUUUCAAGAAAUAUAUUUUCUUUCCCCACUAUAUAUAGUCAGCUUAUAAUAAGUUUUGCUUCUCAAAAAUAGGUUGGUCUACCUUUUUCACAUACACAUCCAAGUCAAGAAGGUGUUAUCUUCAUAAUGAACUUAAGCUAGAGCUUAGGUGACUCACCUGAGAAUAUUCUAUCAGUCAGAAACUAUUCAAGGUCCAACCCCGGUAUUUACUGCUCUGUGGCCUCCACUUUGCGGAGGCACCACCUUAAUGAAUCACACUGGCUGUCCGUCACUCAUUCUCUCACGACCACAGUUUCAAAAUAAAACCUUGGAAAAUGGAGGCACUGAAGUAACAGUUGCAGUUACUUCACCCACUGUUGACUGUUCUAUGGAUGCAACCUACAAUUUGAGUCUUUAUUUGGUCGUUGACAAAGGCCUUAAAUUUUUGAGUCAAAACUUCAGUAAAAUUCAGAAAUUUAGGCCCUAAGAUGUUGAUUCUGUUGUUUAUAGGAAAUGCUUUCAAGGCUUACUUUGCUUUUCAUAGUUCUAACAAAAUAAUUUAAUGUGUGUGUUUUUUGGGGGUGGGGUUUUUUGGGUGGUUUUUUGUUUGGGGUUUUUGUUUUGUUUUUUUCUUUUUUUUUUUUCUCUCUGGAAAAGUUGAGUAGAUGGAAACUAUGAAAGGAAAAGAUGUACUACAAAAUUGUAAGUCAAUAGUUCUGUGGUUUCUGCUUUCAUCUAGUAAAAAGAAGAAAAUAGUAUAAGGAAGAAGUUCAUUUUUCUUAGAUUAUUGGUAGUAAAAUUCAAGUUAAAAAUCAGAGUUUGCUAAUUGUGUUUUUCCUCUAGAUUCUCUUUCUCAUCAGAAUAAUCUCUCAAAUAAAGAUAAUAUCUAAAUUUAAUCAGAAGUUUUAACUGUUAAGUUUAAUCAUGCAAGGAAAGAAAUGUGCACUUUCAGGGGAUUCACCUUUGUAGUUUUAUCCUAAUACAGUAGUGACCUGUUACAUGUAUGUUAGAGCUGGAUGGCCAUAGUCAGCUUUCUAGGUGCCUAGCCUGCCUUGCUGCCUCUGCAGGCCACUAAAACUGCUUACUGUUUUACCCAAGCAGGUGCUUAAUUUUUCCAGCAUAUCCAUGACUUCCCACAUAGGCUUUUAGCUAUUGUACUAUUACCUUGUACAACUAUGCUACUGCCUGCACUAUGUCUUUGAACCCCUGGCUGCUGCUUUUUAUUAAAUAGAUAUGAAGUGUCAGGUUGCUAUGCUAAGUGUUUUACACAUUGAAUCUUGCCACCCCCAUGGGGCAGAGCUACCCUUAAAUGAAGCUAGCACAGUAUACCAUAAUCUUAGCUUUGCUUCCGUAAUGUAUCUUCUGAAUUAUCAGACAGUGGUAAAUGACUACAGCUACCGUUCAUAACUAAGCUUAUUUUUUUUUCUUUUUUACUGUGGUAAGACAUACAUAACAUAAAAUUUACCAUCCUGACCAUUUUUAAGUGUACAGUCCAGUGGUAUUAAAUACAUCCACAUUGAUGUGCAACCACGGUCACCAUACAUCCCCAUAACUCUUCUCAAGUCGUAAAACUGAAUUUCUGUACCUAUUAAACAAUAAUUCCCCAUUCUUCUUCCCCCAGCCCCUGGCAACUACCAUUAUACUUUUUGUCUUUACAAUUUUGACUACUCUAAGUACCUCAUGUCAGUGGAAUCAUACAGUAUUUGUCUUUCUGUAACUGGCUUAUUUCACUAAUCAUAGUGUCCUUAAGGUUUAUACAUGUUACAGCAUAUUGCAGAAUUUCCUUCCAUUUUAAGGCUGAGUAAUAUUCCAUUAGUAUGUCUAUAUCACAUUUUGCUUAUCCAUGUAUCCAGUCGAUGGACACUUGUGUUUCUUCCACAGUUUAGCUAUUAUGAAUAAUGCCGCUAUGAACAUGGGUAUACAAAUAUCUUUUUGAGACUCUGCUUUCAAUUCUUUUGAAGUAGAAGUGUUAGAUUGUAUGGUAAUUCUUUUUCUAAGUUUUUGAGAAACCACAAUAUUGUUUUCCACAGUAGCUAUACCAUAUUACAUUCCCACCAGCAAUGCACAAGACUUCCUCUUCUUUAUUUCCUCACCAGCACUUGUUAUUUUCUGGUGUUUUUUUCUAGUUUUAUUGAGAAAUAAUUGACAUAUUUCACUGUAUCAGUUUAAGAUAUAUAACAUGAUUUUUUAUUUAUGCAUUUUUAAAAUUUUUGUAAUGGAAGGAUGGUUGAAUAAAUGUUACAUUAGUGUCAGAUGUACACACAGUGAUUCAGCAUGUCUGCACAUUAUGCUGUGCCACCACAAGCGUAGCCACCAUCUGUCAGCGUAUAACACUAUUACAAUACCAUUGACUAUAUUCCUUAUGCUGUAUCUAUUAUCCCCAUGACUUUCAUUCCAUAACUGGAAUUCUCUAUCUCCCAUUCCCCUUCACCCAUUUUACCCAUCCCUCCCACCCUAUUUUCUGGCUUUUUUUUUUUUUAAUAGUACCUAUCCUAAUGGGUGUGAGGUGGUGUUUCAUUGUAGUUUUGAUUUGCAUUUGCCUUAUGAUUAGUGAUGUUCAGCAUCUUUUCAUAUGCUUAUUGGCCAUUUGUUUAUCUUCUGUGAAGAAAUGUCCACUCAAGUCCUUUGUCCAUUUUUGAAUCAGGGUGGGGUUUGUUAUUUUUCGUCUUAGAAGUUCUCUGUAUAUUCUGAAUAUUAAUCAGAUACGUGAUUUAUAAUAUUUACCAGAAUAUGCUUAUCAUGUAUAUGAUUUGCAAAUACUUUCUCCCAUUCUGUGGGUUGCCUUUUUACUCUGCAAGUAGUGUGUUUGGGUGCACAAAAUCUUUAUUAUUUCUUUUUUUUUUUUUUAAGUGUACUUACUUAGAGAGAGAGCACAAGGAGGGGAGAGGCAGAGAGAGAGCACAAGCAGGGGAGAGGCAGAGAGAGAGGGAGAGAGAGAGAAUCUCAAGCAAGCUCUGCAUUGUCAGCGUGGAGCCCAACACGGGGCUCAAACACAUGAACCAUGAGAUCAUGACCUGAGCCAAAACCAGGAGUCAGACACUUAACUGACGGAGCCACCAGGCGCCCCUUUGGAUGCCAAAAAUUUUUAAUUUUCAUGAAGUACUAUUUGUCUGUUUUUCCUUUUGUUGUUAUGCCUUUAGUGUCCUAUCCAAGAAAUCAUUGCCAAAUCCAAUGUCCUAUUAUUUUUAUACUGUACUAAUCCCCCCACUUUAGACCUUAGUGGCACACUAUAAAAAUUGCUUUAUAGUGAUUGCUUCAGAUCACUGAAAAUACACCCCAAGUCCUAGAAAGGUAGUUUUCCCUUAAUCUCUGAUAAAGUGGACUCCAAGAAGUGUGAGCUAUUUUCACAGUGGCUACCCUAUUAUUUUUAUCUAGGAACAAUAUUCAUUUUCAUCAAUGGAUAAAUAAAGGUUACUUUAGAACAUGUGCUAUUUGGAGGCGCCUGGGUGGCUCAGUCGGUUAAGCGGCCGACUUCGGCUCAGGUCAUGAUCUCACGGUCUGUGAGUUCAAGCCCCGUGUUGGGCUCUGUGCUGACAGCUCAGAGCCUGGAGCCUGUUUCAGAUUCUGUGUCUCCCUCUCUCUGACCCUCCCCCGUUCAUGCUCUGUCUCUCUCUGUCUCAAAAAUAAAUAAACGUUAAAAAAAUUAAAAAAAAAAAAAAAAGAAGAACAUGUGCUAUUUGGAGUAAAUAUAUAGCCUCUUUGUAUUUGUCACUUCAUCUCUGGAAUCUGCCAAGCCAAAAGGGCCUGGGCAUUGGAACCAUUAAUUCAUGCCUCUUCCACCCUCACUCAUAACACCAUUGCCUUGUUUUGAAUUUGCAACUGUCCCACUUGCUGGUUAUAAUGUAUUAUCCUCUUAAGAUAUGCUAGAUUUGAUUUGCUAAAAUUGUGUUUAGAAUUUUUGCAUCUAUAUUCAUGCAGCAUAUUGAUAUAAUUUUGUAAUGUCUUCUGGUUUUUUAAUCAGAGAUAACACACUCAUAGAAUGAGUUGAGAGAUAUACAGUCUUCUUUAAUUAUUUGGAAGAGUUUGUGUUGAAUUGAUGCAAGUUCCUUCUUAAGUGUUUGAGAGAGUUUUUAGUGGAGCCAUUUGUGUUGGGGGCUUUCUUUGUGAGAAGACUUUUUACUACAAUUUCAAUGUCUCUAAUAGAUAGGGGCCUAUUCAAGUUAUGUUUCCUCUUGAGUGAGGUUUGGUAGUUUAUUUCUUAAGGAGUUUGUCCAUUUCAUCUAAGUAGUCAAUAUUGUUGACAUAAAGCUGUUCAUAUUUCUUUAUGAUUUGUUUUAAAUAUCUGUAGAAUCUUUAGUAAUGUUACUUGUGACAUUGGUAAUUUUGUCUUUAUUUCUAAUCAGUCUGACUAAAGGUUUAUUAAUUUUAUGAAUCUCAAAGAACCAGCUUUUGGUUUUAUUGGUAUUUUUUACUUUUCUAUUUUCUGUUUCACUGAUGAUUGCUGUAACCUUAAUUCCCUUCUUUUGCUUGCUUUGACUUUAAUUUGCUUUUUUUUUUCUUCUAAUUUUUCUAAGUAUAAGCUGAGGUCAUUGAUUUGAGACAAUUCUUCUUUUCUCUCACAGGCAUUUAGUGCUGUAAAUCUUCCCCAAAGAAAUGGUUAGUGCCAUCCCACAAAUUCUGAUAUGUUUCACUUUCAUUUAGUGCAAAGUACUUCCUAAUUUCCCCUUUUAUUUCUUCUUUGAUCCAUGAAUUAUUUAGUUUCUAUAUUUGGAGAUUUUUCUAGCUAACUUUCUGUUAUUGAUUUCUUUUUUUUUUUAUUAUUUAAAUUCAAGUUAGUUAACAUACAGUGUAGUAUUGGUUUUGGGAGUAGAAUCCAGUGAUUCAUCACUUACAUAUGACACCCAGUGCUCAUCCCAACAGGUGCCCUCCUUAAUGCCCAUCACCCAGUUAGCCCAUCUCCCUAUUCACCUCCCCUCUAGCAACACCCAGUUUGUUCUCUGUAUUUAAGAGUUUCUUAUGAUUUGCCUCCCUCUGAUUUUAUGUUAUUUUUCCUUCCCUUCCCCUAUGUUCAUCUAUUAUGCUUCUUAAAUUCCACAUAUGAGUGAAAUCAUAUGAUACGUGUCUUUCUCUGCCUGGUUUAUUUCGUUUAGCAUAAUACACUUCUAAUUUAAUUCCAUUUUGGUCAGAGAAUAUAUUUUGUGUGAUUUGAAUCCCUUUAAAAAAUACAUAUGUAUAUUUUAAUUUUUUAAUUUUAUUUAAAUCCAAGUUAGUUAACAUGUACUGUAAUAAUUAUUUCAGGAGUAGAAUUUAGUGAUUCAUCACUUACAUAUAGCACCCAGUGCUCAUCCCAACAAGUGCCCUCCUUAAGAUUUAUUUUAUCACCCACCAUGCAGGUUUUCUUAGUAAAUGUUUUGUAUGCAUUUGAAAAGCAUGGAUAUUUUGCUAUUGUGCUAUUAAAAAAUCAAAUCAGGUUAAGUUAGUUGAUAGUAUAUCCUUCCUGAUUAUUUUUUUCUUACAUUUCUAGUAUUUAGAGAGAUUAAAAUCUCCAACUAUAGUUGUGUAUUUAUUUCUCCUUGCCUUUCUAUCAGAUUUCAUUCAUGUAUUCUAAAGCUUUCUUAUUUAAUACAUAAGUACUUUGGGUUUUAUGUCUUCUUGAUUAAUUCUUUACCAUUAGAAAAUUAUCUUUAUUUGCACUAAUAUUCUUUACUUUGAAAUCUAAAUCUUCUAUUAACAUAGCCACUCCAGUUUUCUUUUGACUAGUGUCAGCAUACUAUAUCAUUUUUGUCUUUUUUUUUAAGUAAACUUGUAUUUUAGAGUAUUUGCACAUUUACCGAAAGUUGCAAAGGUAACAGGUAGUUUCCACACAUCCUCACCCAGCUCUUCUUGUCAGCAACCUUUUUCUAAUGUUUUAUUGAGAUGUAAUUCACAUGCCAUAUACAAUUCAUCCAUUUAAACUAUACAAUUCAGUGGUUUUUAGAUACUUUCUUCCAUCACAAUCAAUUAAAAAAAUUUUUUUAUUUGAGUAUAGUUGACACACAGUGUUAUUAGUUUCAGGUGUACACCACAAUCAAUUUUAAAGCAUUUUCAUUACCACAAAAAGAAACACCAUAGCCAUUAGUUGUCACUACCCAUUCCACCAUUCCCCGAGCCUUGUGCUAUCACUAAUCUACUUUCUGCCUCUAUGGAUUUGCGUGUUCUGGACAUUUCAUUUGUAUGAAUGAAAUUUUACAACAUGUGAUCUUUCAUGACCAGCUUCUUUCACUUAGCAUAAUGUUAUCAAGUUUCAUCCAUGGUAUAUAGCAUGUAUCAGUAUCUCAUAUGUUUUAUUGCCACAUAAUAUUACAUUGCAAGUCUGUACCAUAUUUAUUCAUCAACUGAUGAAUAUUUGAGUUGUUUCCAUUUUUUAAUUAAGAUAUCAUUCAUGUACCAUAAAAUUCACUUUUUUAAAGUGUGAAGGGGGCUUUUCCUUCUCUAAGUAGUGUGGCGUUUCAGCUUAUCGGUUCUUCAGAAUUUGCUACUGCUUAUAAAUCCACUUCAUGACUUCUAAAAUUUUAUUAAUCUCCCUCAUCUCUUGUCUUUUUUCUCAUUCUCUUUGCUCUUGUAUGUUUUGCCAUUUUUUUCCUUUUGUGGUCAUUUCAGUGGGGUUUGAGGAACAAAAGACUAUUCAGUCUGCCACACUUACUAUUUUUUUUUAAUUUUUGAGAGAGAGACAGAGACAGAGAGACAGAACGUGAGUCCAGGGGUGAGCGGCAGGGAAGAGCGGGAGACACAGAAUAUGAAGCAGGUUCCAGGUGCUGAGCUGUCACUACAGAGGCCAACGUCGGGCUCAAACCCAUGAACCGUGAGAUCAUGACCUGAGCUGAAGUCGGACAUUUAACUGACUGAGCCACCCAGGCACCCCUAAUCUGCCAUAUUUAAUAAAAAGAGCCCUUAAAAUUAUUUUUGAAGAAGGAAAAUAAAUUGUCAAAAUUCUACUACUUUUACUUCAUUUUCAUUUUGCCUUUUUCCUCCCACUCUUUGUAUACUUAUGGAUACAAUCAUAGCAUAUUUGGCUGAUUUUCUUAAAUGUAGCAUAAGUACUUCUUUCAUAUAAGCAUCACCAUAUAACUACUUUAAUGGCAGAAUAAUAUUCUUUGGUGUUAAUAAUGUUCUGUCAUUUACCUAACCUUCCUUCUCCAUUGUUAGGCAUUAAAACUGCUAACUUUGGAGGGGGUAUAGCUAUUAAAGAUAACGCCAUAAUAAACAUUUUUGUUGAGCUUUUAGGGCAUUUGCAAGUACACAUAGUGAGAUCUGUGACUCACCAAAUUCCUCAAUUUCCUGUGCUGGGACCCACGGAUGCUUUUCUUCUUCCGUUCCUUUUGUAGUCACACCUCAGAAAAAACACCUUGAUGUGUAUCUACUCACUUCUUUGCUGACUAUGUUCUCCCAAUCAGGCCCUUAAUCUUCCUGAUUUACGGUGCUGUUAUAAACAACAUUAUGAGGUGCAUCAGUCUUCACAUGUGGAGUUCUUAUCUCUCCAUAUAGAUUAUAAGCACUUUGUAGACAGAGGUCCCAUAGUGCUUGGUAUUGAGUUAAUGAAAAGCACGAAUUUACAGUAAACACUUAUGGAUAGAUUAUUUUGCUUUGUUCCUAAACAGGUUUAAGAAUACUUAAAUAUGUUUUAAAAUCCAUGAGUUCAGGGGUGUCUGGAUGGCUCAGUCGGUUAAGUGUCUGACUCUUGAUUUUAGCUCAGGUCAUGAUCUCACAGUACAUUGGUUCAAACCCAACAUCAGGCUCCGUGCUGACAGUGUGGAACCUGCAUGAGAUUCUCUCUCUCCGUCUCUCUCUCUGUCCUUCCCAUGCUCUCUCUCUCUCUCUCUCUCUCAAAAUAAAUAAACUUUAAAAAUCCAUGAGUUCAGAAAAAUAUGAAUAAAAAAAGAAAAACUGGUCAACUGUGAUGGAUGCUAGAAAAUAAUGCAUUGUUUUUAAAACUGAUAAAUGAAGGGAUAAAAUCUUGUAUUUAUCUGGUACAAAUUACAUGUUCAGGUCACCAAACAGUUGAUGAAUAGGAAAUUUCUCUUUACAGAAAUACUCUAAUAAAUGAGGAAAUGAUGCUAGAAUGAGAAUAUCACUAUUUGAUUAUUCCUAAUGAUUAAUGAAUAAGCAUUGACCAUAAACAACCUUUAACAUCACAAAAAAGAAACAACCAUAUAUAGUAAUACCAUCCAUGAAGUAUUCUUGCCAAACAGUCAAGCCUGAAUCCCAUCAAGCCUCUAGAUCCAACUGCUACUUUUCAGGAAGUACAGAGGACAAAAGAGUAUGUCAUAUGACACCACUGGGAUGUAGUCAACAACCACCAGACUAAUGGAAACUAUUGAAUAAAUGAUCCAGUUUCUUCAACAAAUAGAUUGCAAGUGAGAGGGAAAGUAAGAGAGAGAGGGGCACCUGGGUGGCUCAUCAGUAAAGCAUCCAACUUUUGAUUUCACCUCAAGUGAGGAUCUCACAGUCAUGGGAUCGAGCCCUGCAUCAGGCUCUGCACUGAGCAUGGAGCCUGCUUAAUAUUUUCUUCUCUCCCCCUCAGUCCCUCUCCCCUGUUUUCAUUCUCUUUCUCUCUCUCUCUCUCUCUCUCUCUCUCUCUGUCUCUCUCAAAAAAAAAAAAAAACAGAAAAGAGAGAGAAAGAGAUAGGUGGUAAAGGAACCUAUAGAUUAAAACUUAACUCAGAGAUAUAACUAAUAGUAAUAUAUGGACCAUAUUUGGGUCCUUCCUGAAUCAAACUAAUUGUGAAAAAAAAAAAACAAAGAAAAA
This is a long non-coding RNA of Acinonyx jubatus (cheetah), 15953 nucleotides long. RefSeq lists it as uncharacterized. The record is from RefSeq and is a predicted model, not a curated record. The transcript has 2 exons. NCBI's taxonomy places the organism in Eukaryota, Metazoa, Chordata, Mammalia, Carnivora, Felidae.